AUUGACUGCUAGUUGCCAGUACACUCUUGCCUUUGCAAUUCCUGGACGUUUUGUUCAUGAUGUUCAGCAAGACGAGAAAAUAUCCGGGACCACUAUUUAAGAAAAUUUGUUUAUUGGAAUGUAUAAGAUCGGUGCGAAAUAUGUGUUUCUUAUUCUUUAAAAAAGAAAUUCAGUCUCGAUUAAUAUACAAAUUAAUUUAUAAAUACCCUGUACAAUUCAACAUUGAAGAAGAAGUAACAAAACUGUAGAAAAUCCAGUCAGUACAGAAGAGACAGAGGAACCGCGUAAUAGGUAGAGCCAUGGCACCACGAAAUCUGACAACCUGGAGGAUUCGUCCCUCUGCUGCAAGCUUUCAGAUAGUGCAGGGAAUCAACAGCUGGUUUCCAGGUAUGCUUUUCUGACGAAGAAAUAAUGGAAAUAAAGAAUCGCCUUGUCCAGAAGCUGGGACGCACUGAAUUAGAGAAACUACAGUGAAUCGUUGAUGCUUUUCUUGAUUUUUUUAAUUGAAUUUCGAUCUAGAAUUUCAUGAAUUAUAAUCUUACUUUUUUAGAUUUAAUUUCAAUUUUUUUUUUCAUUUGUUGACUCAAAGAACAUCUGGUGAAGAUUCUAGUCGCAAAUCAUUAACAUUUUCUUUGGUUGGAAAUGCUUGUAAAAUAACAUGAUUAUUACUUGGAAGAAAAUUAUUGAACUACCACCAAGUCUUCGGACGAACAGCUUUGAGCAACCGGCUCGUUGGUAUUUUUAAGAAAAAAAUGUUAGAAGACAUGUCUUCUUCCCAGCUUUUUCCUCGUUCAAAAAUCAUUCUCUGCAUCGGAGGAAAUGACUAACUUGUCGGCAAUCCUUUCCAUCUCAUUAACGUUCUUCUUCGAGGAGUGAAGCUGCCUCCACAUUACACCCAAGUUCUACGAAAAAAAACUGAGAUAUAGUUUGAGAUAUUUUCUUGGAAUUCAUUUUAAAAAAAAAAUGAAUUCCAAGAAAAUAUUAGAAAAGAUUAUAAGAACUUCUUAGCAUGUCUCUUAGUUCAUGGGGAUUUUUUCAUCAGAGUUCUUGUUUUCGCUGUUUCCUGCGUUGCAAACCGUGUUUCAUGGCAAAAAUACAUUUGUUGCUUUUUGGUCUUGAAACAUAAUUUGCACCAAACACACCGCAUAUACCAGGUUUUCAUUCCAGAACUGGGUCAGCACCAGCAGCCAUCUGGUAGUAUGGGGGUGGCGGCGACGUGGCACAAAGGGGGAGUACCAUACCAGAAAUAACUAACACUAACAGAAUGAGUUAGUUAAAGCAUCCAUCUCUACUCUCCCUCUCUUCACCCACCAAAAAACAACACUAACGAUAGAUAUACCUUUCUUAAUAAUCUUGACGACCUACCAUUCUCAUUCUCUUCUCUUCCCUCCUCUCCAAGGAAAAACUUGAAUUCCCUCAAGAAAAUGCCUCCUCUAAAAGCACUUGCCGCCUUGGUCAUCUUUUUGGGCAUAGCCUCGAUCCUGUUGCAGCAAAGGUAUUGGUUACCACUCUCUUCUAAGGGAAAAUCAACUCUAUAUGGACUUCAACAGUCUACUGCUGGCGUCCAUCACUCUGAAGAGUUUUUCUUGCUGAAUUAUGAGGCAAUGGAGAAGGAUUUAAAGGUCUUUGUGUACCCAGGUGGAAACCCAAAAACGUGUUAUCACUCAAUAGAUAAGAAGCUCAAGAGCAAUUAUGCAAGUGAGCAUUAUUUCUUCAUGAAUCUGAGAAACGGUUCGUUUUUGACUGAGAAUCCUGAUGAGGCUCAUCUCUUCUUUAUUCCCCUUUCUUGUCAGCCAAUGGAAGACCAGGAUGCUUUACCUCGUUAUAAGGAGAUGGUUAUCCAGAACUAUGUCCGCGCCUUAACUAUCAAAUACCCUUACUGGAAUAGGACUUUAGGCGCUGAUCACUUUUUUGUCAGUUGCCAUGGCAUUGGCAACAGGGCUACUGCUGCUUUCCCAUUUCUCCUGAAGAACGCAAUUCGACUUGUGUGUUCACCAAGCUAUGAUUCCAACUAUAUUCCACAUAAGGAUGUUUCCCUCCCACAGAUACUGGAGCUCUCUUUUCCUCCUGAAGGAGAUGGCAUGUGGAACGACUCAACUAUGGAGUCUCUCCCUAUCCAGCUAUCCCCAGUGGAGACUCACCCUUCCAGGACUAAACUUUGUUUCUGGGCUGGUUCUCCCAACUCAGAAGUAAGAAAGAAUCUUCGAGUUCAUUAUAAAGGUUUAGAAGAAUUUGAGAUCCAUUUCGUCGAGAAUGUUAAAAGGGCAUUGGUGCUAGAUACUUUUCAAAAGGAGAUACAUAGGAGUAAGUUUUGCAUCUGUCCUCGUGGGAAGACUCAAGUCGGUGGUGUUUGCUUAGCAGAGUCGAUGGCUUUUGGAUGUGUACCUGUUCAUGUGUCUUUCUGCAGUUAUCAUGUCCGACUACUAUGACUUGCCAUUCAAUGACAUCCUUGACUGGAAUGCAUUCUCUGUAAUUCUCAAAGAGCAUGAUGUUCCCAUAAUGGGGGAGAUUCUCAAAGGCAUACCAGAAGAUAUGUUCGAGAAAAUGCGUCAAAAUGUUCUCAAGGUUAGCAAGUACUUCAAGUGGCAUUUUCGUCCUGUCAAGUAUGACGAGUUUCACAUGGUAAUGUAUGAGCUAUGGAAGCGCCGCCAUAUCAUUAGGUACUGAACCACAAGAAGAUGGUCCUAAACGACAUUCCCCCCUGAUUGCUUUGCUGGUUUCUGAAGUUAAAUGCACAUGGCGUUGCAUGAUGUGCUUAAUAAUACUUUAAUUGAAGGAGAUAUCUGCCAUUUGAAAUCAUGGAUUCUUUACAAUAGCAGAAAGAUUACAAAUAUAUCUGUGUGCA
Molecule: RNA transcript, 2845 nt
Organism: Populus trichocarpa (black cottonwood)
Lineage: Eukaryota; Viridiplantae; Streptophyta; Magnoliopsida; Malpighiales; Salicaceae
Gene name: probable glycosyltransferase At3g07620
Exons: 7
Source: RefSeq, a predicted model, not a curated record